RNAcentral lists this ribosomal RNA (425 nucleotides) under uncultured bacterium. Its description in RNAcentral is "partial 16S ribosomal RNA". It matches the Rfam family "Bacterial small subunit ribosomal RNA", at positions 354 to 796 of the family's 1533-position model. The record is from RNAcentral.
GUUAGGAAUAUUGGACAAUGGGCGCAAGCCUGAUCCAGCCAUGCCGCGUGAGUGAUGAAGGCCUUCGGGUUGUAAAGCUCUUUAGCCGAUGAUUAUAAUGACUGUAGUCGGAAAAUAAGCCCCGGCUAACUUCGUGCCAGCAGCCGCGGUAAUACGAAGGGGGCGAGCGUUAUUCGGAAUCACUGGGCGUAAAGCGUGCGUAGGCGGCUUUGCAAGUUGGGAGUGAAAGCCCAGGGCUCAACCCUGGAGUUGCUCUCAAAACUGCAAGGCUCGAAUUCGGGAGAGGAUAGCGGAAUUGUCAGUGUAGCAGUGAAAUGCGUAGAUAUUGACAGGAACACCAGUGGCGUAAGCGGCUAUCUGGACCGAUAUUGACGCUGAGGCACGAAAGCGUGGGGAUCAAACAGGAUUAGAUACCCCUGUAGUCC